RNAcentral lists this ribosomal RNA (519 nucleotides) under Zenarchopterus sp. CU-77844. RNAcentral describes it as "partial 16S large subunit ribosomal RNA". It matches the Rfam family "Bacterial large subunit ribosomal RNA", at positions 1923 to 2597 of the family's 2925-position model. Lineage: Eukaryota; Metazoa; Chordata; Actinopteri; Beloniformes; Zenarchopteridae. The record is from RNAcentral.
UUUAACGGCCGCGGUAUUUUGACCGUGCAAAGGUAGCGCAAUCACUUGUCUUUUAAAUGAAGACCCGUAUGAAUGGCAUAACGAGGGCUUAACUGUCUCCUUUUUCCAGUCAAUGAAAUUGAUCUCCCCGUGCAGAAGCGGGCAUAAUCUCAUAAGACGAGAAGACCCUAUGGAGCUUUAAACAACAGACAGACCAUGUUAAAAUACUUAACCAAAUAAGAUUAAACUCUUGCGCAUCUAUCUCAAUGUUUUCGGUUGGGGCGACCACGGGGAAAAAAACAACCCCCAUGCGGUGAAAAAACUUUUUCAUAACCAAAAUUAACAAAUUUAAGCACCAGAAAUUCUGACCAUAAAUGAUCCGGCCGUACCGAUCAACGAACCAAGUUACCCUAGGGAUAACAGCGCAAUCUCCUUUUAGAGCCCCUAUCGACAAGGAGGUUUACGACCUCGAUGUUGGAUCAGGAUAUCCUAAUGGUGUAGCCGUUAUUAAGGGUUCGUUUGUUCAACGAUUAAAAUCCU